CACAUACUCCCUCUAUCCGGAAUUAUUUGUUGUAGAAAUGGAUGUAUCUAGACAUAUUUUUAGUUCUAGAUACAUCCAUUUCUGUGACAAGUAAUUCGGGAUGGAGGGAGUAUUUG
Triticum aestivum (bread wheat) is the source of this 116-nucleotide non-coding RNA. The record is from Rfam. NCBI's taxonomy places the organism in Eukaryota, Viridiplantae, Streptophyta, Magnoliopsida, Poales, Poaceae.